Molecule: ribosomal RNA, 253 nt
Filed under: uncultured bacterium
Lineage: Bacteria
Description: partial 16S ribosomal RNA
Rfam family: Bacterial small subunit ribosomal RNA
Source: RNAcentral
UACGUAGGAAGCGAGCGUUGUCCGGAUUUACUGGGCGUAAAGAGCGUGUAGGCGGCUCGGUAAGUCCGCUGUGAAAGUCCAGGGCUCAACCCUGGAAUGCCGGUGGAAACUGUCGAGCUAGAGUCCGGAAGAGGCGAGUGGAAUUCCUGGUGUAGCGGUGAAAUGCGCAGAUAUCAGGAGGAACACCAAUGGCGAAGGCAGCUCGCUGGGACGGUACUGACGCUGAGACGCGAAAGCGUGGGGAGCAAACAGG